AGCUUUGCGCAGUGGCAGUAUCGUAGCCAAUGAGGUUUAUCCGAGGCGCGAUUAUUGCUAAUUGAAAACAAAAACAUCCAUGAAGAACGAGCAUUCACAAAUGAACGAAAUGUCUUAUGGUGAGGAUGUUUUUCA
This is a small nuclear RNA of Neomonachus schauinslandi (Hawaiian monk seal), 135 nucleotides long. RefSeq annotates it as U4 spliceosomal RNA. Lineage: Eukaryota; Metazoa; Chordata; Mammalia; Carnivora; Phocidae. The transcript has a single exon. The record is from RefSeq and is a predicted model, not a curated record.